ACUCAAGGACAUAAAGAAUAUCCGAUAAAAUUGGAACGAUACAGAGAAGUCCCUACGCAAGGAUGACAUGCACAAAUUGAAAAAUGGUCAAAAAAUUU
Vitis vinifera (wine grape) is the source of this 98-nucleotide small nuclear RNA. NCBI's taxonomy places the organism in Eukaryota, Viridiplantae, Streptophyta, Magnoliopsida, Vitales, Vitaceae. The record is from Rfam.